UACGUAGGGUGCAAGCGUUGUCCGGAAUUAUUGGGCGUAAAGAGCUCGUAGGCGGUCUGUCGCGUCGGCUGUGAAAACCCGGGGCUCAACCCCGGGCCUGCAGUCGAUACGGGCAGACUAGAGUGCUGUAGGGGAGACUGGAAUUCCUGGUGUAGCGGUGAAAUGCGCAGAUAUCAGGAGGAACACCGGUGGCGAAGGCGGGUCUCUGGGCAGUAACUGACGCUGAGGAGCGAAAGCGUGGGGAGCAAACAGG
RNAcentral lists this ribosomal RNA (253 nucleotides) under uncultured bacterium. Its description in RNAcentral is "partial 16S ribosomal RNA". It matches the Rfam family "Bacterial small subunit ribosomal RNA", at positions 524 to 776 of the family's 1533-position model. The record is from RNAcentral.